GUGAUUUUCUACAUUGUAAUCUCUUAUCACAAACGCCAAAUACCUGUAUUUUGCGUCUUUUACGGUUGCUCAAAUCGAUCAGACCGAGAAACCACAAGGUACUUUAACCGUAUACCCAAAGUAGUUGUUCAUAAAGGUAAAAAAAAAAAAAAAAGCAAGAAAUUGACAGAAAAACGCCAGUUAAAAAUGGCUUGCAAAACUGCGUCUGCGGUCGGGAGGAGCCGGGUCGGAUAAUGCUCGUGUGUGCAGUGACCACUUUGUCAAAGAUUGACAAAGACCCAAAACAUACUGCGAAAAGGAACCUAGGAGUUUUUUUAGGCCAAGAAGUGGAAUAUUCUGCAAUGCCUGAGUCAAUCACCUGGUCUUAACCUGAUCGAGCAUGCAUUACACUUCCUGAAGACACAACUUAAGGCUGAAAGACCCACGAACAAACAAUAACUGAGGACGGCUGCCGUAAAGGCCUGGCAAAGCAUCAAAAGGACGAAACCCAGCGUUUGGUGAUGUCCAUGUGUUCUAAACUUCAAGUAGUCAUCUCCUGCAAAGGAUUCUCGACAAAGUAAUAAAAAUGAACCUCUGGC
Esox lucius (northern pike) is the source of this 578-nucleotide long non-coding RNA. NCBI's taxonomy places the organism in Eukaryota, Metazoa, Chordata, Actinopteri, Esociformes, Esocidae. The record is from Ensembl.